CUACGGGCUGCACCAGUAAGGAAUAUUGGGCAAUGGACGCAAGUCUGACCCAGCCAUGCCGCGUGAAGGAUGAAGGCCCUCUGGGUUGUAAACUUCUUUUAUCUGGGGCGAAAGGCGGUUAUUCUUAGCCGUUUGACAGUACCAGAGGAAUAAGCACCGGCUAACUCCGUGCCAGCAGCCGCGGUAAUACGGAGGGUGCAAGCGUUAUCCGGAUUCACUGGGUUUAAAGGGUGCGUAGGUGGAUCUGUAAGUCAGAGGUGAAAUCCCCGAGCUUAACUUGGGAACUGCCUUUGAUACUAUAGAUCUUGAAUAUCGUGGAGGUAAGCGGAAUAUGUCAUGUAGCGGUGAAAUGCAUAGAGAUGACAUAGAACACCAAUUGCGAAGGCAGCUUGCUACACGAUGAUUGACACUGAGGCACAAAAGCGUGGGGAGCAAACAGGAUUAGAUACCCGUGUAGUC
RNAcentral lists this ribosomal RNA (459 nucleotides) under uncultured bacterium. RNAcentral's name for it is "partial 16S ribosomal RNA". It matches the Rfam family "Bacterial small subunit ribosomal RNA", at positions 339 to 795 of the family's 1533-position model. The record is from RNAcentral.